CAGACAAUUGACAAUUUUUAUUCCUUAUGUGAAUAGUAAAACCGUUGUUUUCAUAUUUGAAUAAUAAAAAUGGCACAAUCCAUGGAUAUUUCGGUGGAAUCAGCCAUUGAUUAUGUUAUUCAUGGCAUCACCUACGGUGAGAUCUUUCAACCGCCGCUAGCACUGUCGGAGAAUUUGACUUGGAAUGCAUGUCGAAUUGAUUUUGGUAAAUCAAUGGGCAAUCAAAGGGGAAAAAGAUGAUGAAGAAAUUAAGGAAGCGGAUCGAUUCAAUGCCAAUCUAUGGCCAUCGAAUUCAGUCUGUCGACAAACUACGUUGUUAGAGAGAUGAGCCGGGGUGUUCACACAGCAGCAUCAAAGCAACGCCACAGCGACAUUACAUUGGGCAGCGAAUGUACGAACAUACGAGAACAGUAACACACACACAAAGAGAGGGAGAGAGAGAGAGGGAGAGAGAGAGAGGGAGAGAGAGAGAGAUUUUGCCAGCCAGUUGAAAACAAGAUGUUUACAGUUUGUCGCAAAAGGAUUGAAAUUUUAUCAAAUGAAAUGGCAUCACACACACACACACCAAGGCACAACGAAUGCUGUCACUAAUGCUAACAAUACGUUCGAUUGUUUUCUAGAUUGAGUAAAACAACAUACCGUUACCGGCUUUCGGCAUGUGCAAACAUGAAAAUAGAACUAUACAGUGCUAGUAGCCAUUGCAAAGUGAAAUACGCAUCAGCCGCAGACAUUGAACAGCAAUCGAAGUGAUCGGAAGCAAACAAUAUUUUGUCUUCUUAAUCCGUUGAUAUAGUUUAGUUUUAAAACAUUUAUUAUUCAGUCAAAAUCAUCGACACAAAUUUUUUUUUAAAAGUGUGCUCACAACACAAAUUUUUUUAGCAUCGAACACUCGCAUUUCCUGAAGUUUUUUUCCAUUCGUUUGUCACAGAAAAAUACAGUGAUUGAAAUUGGUCAAAGCCAAUUUGAAACGGGAGAUCAAUUUUCGAAUUGCGCAUGAAUUUAACGGGAAAAAAGUCAAAAUUAAAUUCAAAUUCUGUAGCAACACGAACUAAAAGUACUACGCAAUAGUGCUAACAAUACGUUCGAACAAAACAACAUACCGUUACCGGCUUUGUACAUGUGCAAACAUGAAAUUAGACAUACAGUACUAGUAGCCAUAGCAAAGUGAAAUACGCAUCAGACUCAGACAUUGAUUGAACAACAUUUGAAGUGAUCGGACGCAUAUAAUAUUUUCUCUUCUUGAUCUUUCGAUACAAUUUGAUUUUUAAACAUUUAUUAUUCGCAUCGAACGCUCGCAUUUUCUUGGGGUGUUUUUUCCGUUCGUUUGUCACAGCAAAGUACAGUGCAGAGUCGUUCGCCGAGUCAUUCGCCAGCUGCAAAAAGAUCACGAAUAGAUGCCAUCAGUAAUGCACCAAGUGGUGUGGUUCCAACAAAAGCUCAAAGUCAAGCACCAGAAUCAGGUAAAAUGAUUUAUUCGUUGGAUCAUCAUCGUUGCCACUGUUCUUUGAUACCAACGUCACAUAGUGGCCGUGAUCUAAGUCGUUCCCCUGGCAACA
Molecule: long non-coding RNA, 1556 nt
Organism: Contarinia nasturtii (swede midge)
Lineage: Eukaryota; Metazoa; Arthropoda; Insecta; Diptera; Cecidomyiidae
Exons: 7
Source: RefSeq, a predicted model, not a curated record